Molecule: ribosomal RNA, 776 nt
Filed under: uncultured Neocallimastigales
Lineage: Eukaryota; Fungi; Neocallimastigomycota; Neocallimastigomycetes; Neocallimastigales
Description: partial large subunit ribosomal RNA
Rfam family: Eukaryotic large subunit ribosomal RNA
Source: RNAcentral
GUAGUCUCGCACAGAUGCAUAUCAAUAAGCGGAGGAAAAGAAACUAACAAGGAUUCCCCUAGUAACGGCGAGUGAAGCGGGAAGAGCUCAAAUUUGAAAUCUUAAAGGGGUUUCCCUUGACGAAUUGUAGUUUAAAGAAGUGUUUUCUGUUGAGGUUUUGGUAAAAGUUCUUUGGAAUAGGACAUCAUAGAGGGUGAGAAUCCCGUAUUUGACCUUUACUUUCAACUUUGUGAUACACUUUCAAAGAGUCGGAUUGUUUGGGAAUGCAGUCCAAAAUGGGUGGUAAAUUUCAUCUAAAGCUAAAUAUUGGCGAGAGACCGAUAGCGAACAAGUACCGUGAGGGAAAGAUGAAAAGAACUUUGAAAAGAGAGUUAAACAGUACGUGAAAUUGUCAAAAGGGAAGCGUUUGACACCAGUGUUGUUUUUCUGAAAAUCAAUUAAAGAACUGUUUAUGCUAAGCUUGUUUAGACUUUAUCAGCUAACUGUUUAGUUUUGAGCUUUUCUUUAAUGCACUUUUCAGUUAACAAGUCAACAUCAAUUUCUUUUGCUGUAAAAAAGCUUGAGGAAGGUGGCUUGAGAUUCGUCUUAAGUGUUUAUAGCCUCUUGCCUAUGCAGUCGGAGAGAUUGAGGUCUGCAGCGUAGAUCCUUCGGGGCUAAAUGCAUUUGUGCUAAGUUAUAGCAUUUUAUAGACAACUUGUUGACUAUGAUUUGUCUUGUAGCUUACUCGCUUAUGUUAUUUUACCUACGCUUAGGAUGUUGAACUACUGAGACAUAGA